RNAcentral lists this ribosomal RNA (433 nucleotides) under uncultured bacterium. RNAcentral's name for it is "partial 16S ribosomal RNA". It matches the Rfam family "Bacterial small subunit ribosomal RNA", at positions 29 to 507 of the family's 1533-position model. The record is from RNAcentral.
AACGAACGCUGGCGGCAGGCCUAACACAUGCAAGUCGAGCGAGCAUUUCGGUGCUAGCGGCGGACGGGUGAGUAACGCGUGGGAACGUGCCCUUUUCUGCGGAAUAGUCCUGGGAAACUGGGGGUAAUACCGCAUACGCCCUUUUGGGGAAAGAUUUAUCGGAGAAGGAUCGGCCCGCGUUGGAUUAGGUAGUUGGUGGGGUAAUGGCCCACCAAGCCGACGAUCCAUAGCUGGUUUGAGAGGAUGAUCAGCCACACUGGGACUGAGACACGGCCCAGACUCCUACGGGAGGCAGCAGUGGGGAAUCUUAGACAAUGGGGGAAACCCUGAUCCAGCCAUGCCGCGUGAGUGAUGAAGGCCUUAGGGUUGUAAAGCUCUUUCAGCUGGGAAGAUAAUGACGGUACCAGCAGAAGAAGCCCCGGCUAACUCCGUG